GCUAUCAGGCGUCGAGCGGCGGACGGGUGAGUAAUACUUAGGAAUCUACCUAGUAGUGGGGGAUAGCACGGGGAAACUCGUAUUAAUACCGCAUACGACCUACGGGAGAAAGGGGGCAGUUUACUGCUCUCGCUAUUAGAUGAGCCUAAGUCGGAUUAGCUAGAUGGUGGGGUAAAGGCCUACCAUGGCGACGAUCUGUAGCUGGUCUGAGAGGAUGAUCAGCCACACCGGGACUGAGACACGGCCCGGACUCCUACGGGAGGCAGCAGUGGGGAAUAUUGGACAAUGGGGGAAACCCUGAUCCAGCCAUGCCGCGUGUGUGAAGAAGGCCUUUUGGUUGUAAAGCACUUUAAGCAGUGAAGAAGACUCCGUGGUUAAUACCCACGGACGAUGACAUUAGCUGCAGAAUAAGCACCGGCUAACUCUGUGCCAGCAGCCGCGGUAAUACAGAGGGUGCAAGCGUUAAUCGGAAUUACUGGGCGUAAAGGGAGCGUAGGUGGCUCGAUAAGUCAGAUGUGAAAUCCCCGGGCUCAACCUGGGAACUGCAUCUGAUACUGUUGAGCUAGAGUAUGUGAGAGGAAGGUAGAAUUCCAGGUGUAGCGGUG
RNAcentral lists this ribosomal RNA (605 nucleotides) under Psychrobacter sp. Air218. RNAcentral's name for it is "bacterial SSU rRNA". It matches the Rfam family "Bacterial small subunit ribosomal RNA", at positions 76 to 683 of the family's 1533-position model. The record is from RNAcentral. Lineage: Bacteria; Pseudomonadati; Pseudomonadota; Gammaproteobacteria; Moraxellales; Moraxellaceae.